This 497-nucleotide ribosomal RNA is filed under the name uncultured bacterium. Its description in RNAcentral is "partial 16S ribosomal RNA". It matches the Rfam family "Bacterial small subunit ribosomal RNA", at positions 28 to 507 of the family's 1533-position model. The record is from RNAcentral.
GAUGAACGCUGGCGGCGUGCCUAAUACAUGCAAGUCGAGCGAACAGAUGAGGAGCUUGCUCCUCUGACGUUAGCGGCGGACGGGUGAGUAACACGUGGAUAACCUACCUAUAAGACUGGGAUAACUUCGGGAAACCGGAGCUAAUACCGGAUAAUAUAUUGAACCGCAUGGUUCAAUAGUGAAAGACGGUUUUGCUGUCACUUAUAGAUGGAUCCGCGCCGCAUUAGCUAGUUGGUAAGGUAACAGCUUACCAAGGCAACGAUGCGUAGCCGACCUGAGAGGGUGAUCGGCCACACUGGAACUGAGACACGGUCCAGACUCCUACGGGAGGCAGCAGUAGGGAAUCUUCCGCAAUGGGCGAAAGCUUGACGGAGCAACGCCGCGUGAGUGAUGAAGGUCUUCGGAUCGUAAAACUCUGUUAUUAGGGAAGAACAAAUGUGUAAGUAACUAUGCACGUCUUGACGGUACCUAAUCAGAAAGCCACGGCUAACUACGUG